Molecule: ribosomal RNA, 253 nt
Filed under: uncultured bacterium
Lineage: Bacteria
Description: partial 16S ribosomal RNA
Rfam family: Bacterial small subunit ribosomal RNA
Source: RNAcentral
UACGUAGGCAGCGAGCGUUGUUCGGAGUUACUGGGCGUAAAGGGUGUGUAGGCGGUUUUCUAAGUCUGGUGUGAAAUCUCCCGGCUCAACUGGGAGGGUGCGCCGAAAACUGGAAGGCUAGAGUGCGGGAUGGGUAAGUGGAAUUCCUGGUGUAGCGGUGAAAUGCGCAGAUAUCGGGAAGAACACCCGUGGCUAAGGCGGCUCUCUAGUACGGUACUGACGCUGAGACGCGAAAGCGUGGGGAGCGAACAGG